AAAAAACGAACCCGGCUGUUUUCCUUUCACUUCUCGAUACACGCACAUUCUUCCAAGACCCUACCUUUGGAGAGAGGCUUACUGAAAGAAGGAGUAGUAGUUGCACUGUAUUGCAUGUGGAAUCUGACCCCUGCUGUGGAAGUGUGGAGUCUUGAUCACUGAACCACCAGCGAAGUCCUCUGAGAAAGACAUGUUCACGUCAAAGCCACCACAUAAGGAGCAGCCCAGGCAUUCUGGGAAGUGACGAUCGGGCAGACAGAGGCCUCAGGCUGACGUCAGAGCAGCCCGGCUGGCAGCUUGGGGGUGAGGGGGGGCUCUCUGAUGAGUCACCUGCUCUUUGUCACGUCUCAGCUCCUCUCUCCCUGAGCCUGUCUCGUUGGAGUUUCCUGAGGACAAGGGACCCUCCACUCCAUCUUCCACCAGGAGUGCCCAUCCUCACCGAGCACCAGGGCGGAUGGCGCUGCCCUGCUCUGCAGCCCCAGGAGGACCCCCCCAGUCCAGCUGCACCCCCCACCCCCAAGUCCAUCAUCCAUCCCAUGGCCGAGGACUCCUCCUGAAGACCAAAUGGGGUCAUGGCUCUCCCCUCACCGCUUUCUUGCCUCCCUUUACAGGUCUCUCCUCGAAAGAUUUUUCUUAGAAGAAUUUUGCAUCUAAAAAAGAAAAAUAAAAAGACC
Dama dama (fallow deer) is the source of this 674-nucleotide long non-coding RNA. RefSeq lists it as uncharacterized. Lineage: Eukaryota; Metazoa; Chordata; Mammalia; Artiodactyla; Cervidae. The transcript is spliced from 3 exons. The record is from RefSeq and is a predicted model, not a curated record.